AUACGUAGGGGACGAGCGUUGUCCGGAAUUACUGGGCGUAAAGGGCGCGCAGGCGGAUAUUUAAGUCAGCUGUAAAAGGCAUGAGCUCAACUCAUGUAUGCGGUUGAAACUGGGUAUCUAGAGUGCUGGAGAGGUAGGCGGAAUUCCCGGUGUAGCAGUGAAAUGCGUAGAUAUCGGGAAGAACACCAGUGGCGAAGGCGGCUUACUGGCCAGCAACUGACGCUGAGGCGCGAAAGCCAGGGGAGCGAACGGGAUUAGAUACCCCGGUAGUCCUGGCCGUAAACGAUGAAUGCUAGGUGUGGGUGUCGAGAGGCAUCUGUGCCGGAGUUAACGCGAUAAGCAUUCCGCCUGGGGAGUACGAUCGCAAGAUUGAAACUCAAAGGAAUUGACGGGG
This 394-nucleotide ribosomal RNA is filed under the name uncultured bacterium. Its description in RNAcentral is "partial 16S ribosomal RNA". It matches the Rfam family "Bacterial small subunit ribosomal RNA", at positions 523 to 918 of the family's 1533-position model. The record is from RNAcentral.